GGAGCCGUAGCGAAAGCGAGUUUUAACUGAGCGUUCAGUUACUUGACGUAGACCCGAAACCGGGCGACCUACCCAUGAGCAGGAUGAAGCGAAAGUAAAAUUUCGUGGAGGUCCGAACCCACGAGCGUUGAAAAGCUCGGGGAUGACUUGUGGGUAGCGGUGAAAUUCCAAUCGAGCCCGGAGAUAGCUGGUUCUCCCCGAAAUAGCUUUAGGGCUAGCCUCAAGGUGAGAGAUACGGAGGUAGAGCACUGAAUGUCCUAGGGGGUAUUGCACCUACCGAAGACUAUCAAACUCCGAAUGCCGUCAUCUUAUACUUGGGAGUCAGACUGUGGGUGAUAAGAUUCAUAGUCGAAAGGGCAACAGCCCAGAUCGUCAGCUAAGGUCCCUAAAUGUAAGUUAAGUGGUAAAGGAUGUGGGAUUGCACAGACAACCAGGAUGUUGGCUUAGAAGCAGCCACUCAUUCAAAGAGUGCGUAAUAGCUCACUGGUCGAGUGAUCCUGCGCCGAAGAUUUCCGGGGCUAAAACUUACUACCGAAGCUACGGCAUCAGUAAUGAUGGGUAGGGGAGCUUCCCAUACGGGUUGAAGCAUGACCGUAAGGACAUGUGGACAGUAUGGGAGUGAGAAUGUUGGCAUGAGUAGCGAGAUGUGGGUGAGAAUCCCACAGGCCGUAAACCCAAGGUUUCCAGGGGAAGGUUCGUCCGCCCUGGGUUAGUCGGGACCUAAGCUGAGGCCGAAAGGCGUAGGUGAUGGACAACAGGUUGAUAUUCCUGUACUACCGAUAACCGUUUGAGAGAAGGGAUGACACAGUAGGAUAAGCUAAGCACACUGUUGGUUAUGUGUGCCCAAGCAUUGAGGCAGUCAAAGUAGGCAAAUCCGCUUUGAUAAUGCUGGGAUGUGAUGGGGAGCGAAAUUUAGUAGCGAAGUAGCUGAUUUCACACUGUCAAGAAAAGUCUCUAUCGAGGUUAAAGGUACCCGUACCGCAAACCGACACAGGUGGGUGAGGAGAGUAUCCUAAGGCCAGCGAGAGAACUGUUGUUAAGGAACUCGGCAAAAUGACCCCGUAACUUAGGGAUAAGGGGUGCCACCAUCAGGUGGCCGCAGAGAAUAGGCCCAAGCGACUGUUUACCAAAAACAUAGGUUUCUGCUAAGUCGCAAGACGAUGUAUAGGAGCUGACGCCUGCCCGGUGCUGGAAGGUUAAGGGGAUCUGUUAGAGCAAUCGAAGCAGUGAACUUAAGCCCCAGUAAACGGCGGCCGUAACUAUAACGGUCCUAAGGUAGCGAAAUUCCUUGUCGGGUAAGUUCCGACCCGCACGAAAGGCGUAACGAUUUGGGCACUGUCUCAACAACAGACUCGGUGAAAUUGUAAUUCCGGUGAAGAUGCCGGAUACCUGCGACAGGACGGAAAGACCCCAUGGAGCUUUACUGUAGCUUGACAUUGGGUCUUGGUACUACAUGUACAGGAUAGGUGGGAGGCUUUGAAACCAGGACGCCAGUUUUGGCGGAGCCAUCCUUGGGAUACCACCCUUGUAGUACUGGGACUCUAACCAUAGGCCAUGAAUCUGGUCUUGGGACACUGUCAGGUGGGCAGUUUGACUGGGGCGGUCGCCUCCCAAAAGGUAACGGAGGCGCUCAAAGGUUCUCUCAGUACGGUCGGAAAUCGUACGUAGAGUGUAAAGGCAAAAGAGAGCUUGAUUGCAAGACAUACAGGUCGAGCAAGGAUGAAAAUCGGACUUAGUGAUCCGGUGGUUCUGCGUGGAAGGGCCAUCGCUCAACGGAUAAAAGCUACCCUGGGGAUAACAGGCUUAUCUCCCCCAAGAGUCCACAUCGACGGGGAGGUUUGGCACCUCGAUGUCGGCUCAUCACAUCCUGGGGCUGUAGUAGGUCCCAAGGGUUGGGCUGUUCGCCCAUUAAAGUGGUACGCGAGCUGGGUUCAGAACGUCGUGAGACAGUUCGGUCCCUAUCCGUCGCAGGCGUAGGAAAUUUGAGAAGACCUGUCCUUAGUACGAGAGGACCGGGAUGGACGUACCUCUGGUGUACCAGUUGUCCUGCCAAGGGCAUGGCUGGGUAGCUAUGU
RNAcentral lists this ribosomal RNA (2075 nucleotides) under Clostridioides difficile. RNAcentral describes it as "partial 23S ribosomal RNA". It matches the Rfam family "Bacterial large subunit ribosomal RNA", at positions 662 to 2754 of the family's 2925-position model. Lineage: Bacteria; Bacillati; Bacillota; Clostridia; Peptostreptococcales; Peptostreptococcaceae. The record is from RNAcentral.